Molecule: ribosomal RNA, 495 nt
Filed under: uncultured bacterium
Lineage: Bacteria
Description: partial 16S ribosomal RNA
Rfam family: Bacterial small subunit ribosomal RNA
Source: RNAcentral
GACGAACGCUGGCGGCGUGCCUAAUACAUGCAAGUAGAACGCUGAAGGAGGAGCUUGCUUCUCUGGAUGAGUUGCGAACGGGUGAGUAACGCGUAGGUAACCUGCCUGGUAGCGGGGGAUAACUAUUGGAAACGAUAGCUAAUACCGCAUAAGAUUGACUAUUGCAUGAUAGUCAGUUAAAAGGUGCAAUUGCAUCACUACCAGAUGGACCUGCGUUGUAUUAGCUAGUUGGUGGGGUAACGGCUCACCAAGGCGACGAUACAUAGCCGACCUGAGAGGGUGAUCGGCCACACUGGGACUGAGACACGGCCCAGACUCCUACGGGAGGCAGCAGUAGGGAAUCUUCGGCAAUGGACGGAAGUCUGACCGAGCAACGCCGCGUGAGUGAAGAAGGUUUUCGGAUCGUAAAGCUCUGUUGUAAGAGAAGAACGAGCGUGAGAGUGGAAAGUUCACACUGUGACGGUAUCUUACCAGAAAGGGACGGCUAACUACGUG